AUUGAACGCUGGCGGAAUGCUUUACACAUGCAUGUCGAACGGUAGAGGGGGCAACCCCUCGAGAGUGGCGAACGGGUGAGUAAUAUAUCGGAACGUGCCCAGUUGUGGGGGAUAACGUAGUGAAAAUUACGCUAAUACCGCAUACGAUCUAUGGAUGAAAGCGGGGGAUCGCAAGACCUCGCGCGAUUGGAGCGGCCGAUAUCAGAUUAGGUAGUUGGUGGGGUAAAGGCCCACCAAGCCAACGAUCUGUAGCUGGUCUGAGAGGACGACCAGCCACACUGGAACUGAGACACGGUCCAGACUCCUACGGGAGGCAGCAGUGGGGAAUUUUGGACAAUGGGCGAAAGCCUGAUCCAGCCAUUCCGCGUGCAGGAUGAAGGCCCUCGGGUUGUAAACUGCUUUUGUACAGAACGAAAAGGUUUCUACUAAUACUAGGAGCUCAUGACGGUACUGUAAGAAUAAGCACCGGCUAACUACGUGCCAGCCGCCGCCGUAA
RNAcentral lists this ribosomal RNA (496 nucleotides) under uncultured bacterium. RNAcentral's name for it is "partial 16S ribosomal RNA". It matches the Rfam family "Bacterial small subunit ribosomal RNA", at positions 30 to 523 of the family's 1533-position model. The record is from RNAcentral.